This 383-nucleotide ribosomal RNA is filed under the name uncultured bacterium. Its description in RNAcentral is "bacterial SSU rRNA". It matches the Rfam family "Bacterial small subunit ribosomal RNA", at positions 29 to 409 of the family's 1533-position model. The record is from RNAcentral.
AACGAACGUUGGCGGCAUGGAUUAGGCAUGCAAGUCGAAUGAAUGCUGGGUAGCAAUAUCCAGCGGAAAUGGCGAAAGGGGCAGUAAUACAUGGAUAACGUACCCUGGGGAUGGGCAUAGCCGGUCUAACGGCCGGGUAAUACCCAGAGAGUCGACGAUGUGGCAUCACAAUGUCGGGAAAUGAAUUUCGCCUCGGGAGGGUCCAUGAGCUAUCAGCUAGUUGGUGGGGUAACGGCCCACCAAGGCAUAGACGGCUAGCGGGUGUGAGAGCACGACCCGCGCCACUGGGCACUGAGACACUGGGCCAGACACCUACGGGUGGCUGCAGUCGAGGGUCUUCGUCAAUGGGCGAAAGCCUGAACGAGCGAUGCCGCGUGAGCGAU